This 655-nucleotide ribosomal RNA is filed under the name Lactiplantibacillus plantarum. Its description in RNAcentral is "bacterial SSU rRNA". It matches the Rfam family "Bacterial small subunit ribosomal RNA", at positions 671 to 1326 of the family's 1533-position model. Lineage: Bacteria; Bacillati; Bacillota; Bacilli; Lactobacillales; Lactobacillaceae. The record is from RNAcentral.
AUGUGUAGCGGUGAAAUGCGUAGAUAUAUGGAAGAACACCAGUGGCGAAGGCGGCUGUCUGGUCUGUAACUGACGCUGAGGCUCGAAAGUAUGGGUAGCAAACAGGAUUAGAUACCCUGGUAGUCCAUACCGUAAACGAUGAAUGCUAAGUGUUGGAGGGUUUCCGCCCUUCAGUGCUGCAGCUAACGCAUUAAGCAUUCCGCCUGGGGAGUACGGCCGCAAGGCUGAAACUCAAAGGAAUUGACGGGGGCCCGCACAAGCGGUGGAGCAUGUGGUUUAAUUCGAAGCUACGCGAAGAACCUUACCAGGUCUUGACAUACUAUGCAAAUCUAAGAGAUUAGACGUUCCCUUCGGGGACAUGGAUACAGGUGGUGCAUGGUUGUCGUCAGCUCGUGUCGUGAGAUGUUGGGUUAAGUCCCGCAACGAGCGCAACCCUUAUUAUCAGUUGCCAGCAUUAAGUUGGGCACUCUGGUGAGACUGCCGGUGACAAACCGGAGGAAGGUGGGGAUGACGUCAAAUCAUCAUGCCCCUUAUGACCUGGGCUACACACGUGCUACAAUGGAUGGUACAACGAGUUGCGAACUCGCGAGAGUAAGCUAAUCUCUUAAAGCCAUUCUCAGUUCGGAUUGUAGGCUGCAACUCGCCUACAUGAAGU